This 440-nucleotide ribosomal RNA is filed under the name uncultured Rahnella sp. Its description in RNAcentral is "bacterial SSU rRNA". It matches the Rfam family "Bacterial small subunit ribosomal RNA", at positions 358 to 790 of the family's 1533-position model. Lineage: Bacteria; Pseudomonadati; Pseudomonadota; Gammaproteobacteria; Enterobacterales; Yersiniaceae. The record is from RNAcentral.
GGAAUAUUGCACAAUGGGCGCAAGCCUGAUGCAGCCAUGCCGCGUGUGUGAAGAAGGCCUUAGGGUUGUAAAGCACUUUCAGCGAGGAGGAAGGGUUCAGUGUUAAUAGCACUGUGCAUUGACGUUACUCGCAGAAGAAGCACCGGCUAACUCCGUGCCAGCAGCCGCGGUAAUACGGAGGGUGCAAGCGUUAAUCGGAAUUACUGGGCGUAAAGCGCACGCAGGCGGUUUGUUAAGUCAGAUGUGAAAUCCCCGAGCUUAACUUGGGAACUGCAUUUGAAACUGGCAAGCUAGAGUCUUGUAGAGGGGGGUAGAAUUCCAGGUGUAGCGGUGAAAUGCGUAGAGAUCUGGAGGAAUACCGGUGGCGAAGGCGGCCCCCUGGACAAAGACUGACGCUCAGGUGCGAAAGCGUGGGGAGCAAACAGGAUUAGAUACCCUUG